CGCGUAGGUGGUAGUGCAAGUCUGAGGUGGAAUCCUAUGGCUUAACCAUAGAACUGCCUUGGAGACUGCAUUACUUGAGUCAGUGAGGGGAGGGUAGAAUUCCUGGUGUAGCGGUGAAAUGCGUAGAUAUCAGGAGGAAGGCCGGUGGCGAAGGCGGCCCUCUGGCGCUGAACUGACACUGAGGCGCGAAAGCGUGGGGAGCAAACAGGAUUAGAUACCCUGGUAGUCCACGCCCUAAACGGUGGGUACCAGGUGUAGGGCUCGUAAGGGUUCUGUGCCGAAGCGAAAGCAUUAAGUACCCCGCCUGGGGAGUACGGCCGCAAGGUUGAA
Molecule: ribosomal RNA, 330 nt
Filed under: uncultured bacterium
Lineage: Bacteria
Description: bacterial SSU rRNA
Rfam family: Bacterial small subunit ribosomal RNA
Source: RNAcentral